GGGGAAUAUUGGACAAUGGGCGCAAGCCUGAUCCAGCCAUGCCGCGUGGGUGAAGAAGGCCUUCGGGUUGUAAAGCCCUUUUGUUGGGAAAGAAAUCCUGUCGAUUAAUACUCGGCGGGGAUGACGGUACCCAAAGAAUAAGCACCGGCUAACUUCGUGCCAGCAGCCGCGGUAAUACGAAGGGUGCAAGCAUUACUCGGAAUUACUGGGCGUAAAGCGUGCGUAGGUGGUUCGUUAAGUCUGAUGUGAAAGCCCCGGGCUCAACCUGGGAAUUGCAUUGGAGACUGGCGGGCUCGAGUACGGUAGAGGGUGGCGGAAUUCCUGGUGUAGCAGUGAAAUGCGUAGAGAUCAGGAGGAACAUCCGUGGCGAAGGCGGCCACCUGGACCAGUACUGACACUGAGGCACGAAAGCGUGGGGAGCAAAC
This 425-nucleotide ribosomal RNA is filed under the name uncultured bacterium. RNAcentral describes it as "bacterial SSU rRNA". It matches the Rfam family "Bacterial small subunit ribosomal RNA", at positions 356 to 773 of the family's 1533-position model. The record is from RNAcentral.